CUAGAUGGUACAUUUAACAAUAUGAAUUAUGAUUAAUUUUAGUACUAAAUGCUCCAGUAUUCUACUAUGCCAGAUGAAGGAAUGUCUUUUUGUGCUUUUAGAGUUUAGGGGGUACUUGCUUUCCAUUAGUUCCCCUUAAAUCUAAGUCCCCUAUUGCUAUAUCUCCCAUUGAGAGAAAUGUUUCAGAAAGUAACAGAAAUGAUCAAGUCUCUUCUUCCUUCAUACUAAAAUCCCCUCU
Non-coding RNA from Pelobates cultripes (western spadefoot toad), 238 nucleotides. The record is from the annotation of a GenBank genome assembly. Lineage: Eukaryota; Metazoa; Chordata; Amphibia; Anura; Pelobatidae.